AGAGUUUGAUCCUGGCUCAGAAUCAACGCUGGCGGCGUGCCUCAGACAUGCAAGUCGAACGCGAAAGGCCCCUUCGGGGGCCGAGUAGAGUGGCGUCCGGGUGAGUAACACGUAGGUAAUCUACCUCCGGGUGGGGAAUAACGACCGGAAACGGUCGCUAAUACCGCAUAACGCAGCGGCACCACAUGGUGACAGUUGUUAAAGCGGGGGAUCGCAAGACCUCGCGCCUGAAGAGGAGCCUGCGGCGGAUUAGCUAGUUGGCGGGGUAACGGCCCACCAAGGCGACGAUCCGUAGCCGGCCUGAGAGGGCGGUCGGCCACACUGGCACUGACAUACGGGCCAGACUCCUACGGGAGGCAGCAGUCGGGAAUUUUGGGCAAUGGGCGAAAGCCUGACCCAGCAACGCCGCGUGAAGGAUGAAGCUUUUCGGAGUGUAAACUUCAUAAGAGUGGGACGAAUAAGUGGGGGAUAACACCCCCCAUGAUGACGGUACCAUUUGUAAGCUCCGGCUAACUCCGUGCCAGCAGCCGCGGUAAUACGGGGGGAGCAAGCGUUGUUCGGAUUUACUGGGCGUAAAGGGCGCGUAGGCGGCGCAACAAGUCACUUGUGAAAUCUCCGGGCUUAACCCGGAGCGGCCAAGUGAUACUGUCGUGCUAGAGUGCGGAAGGGGCUACUGGAAUUCUCGGUGUAGCGGUGAAAUGCGUAGAUAUCGAGAGGAACACCUGCGGCGAAGGCGGGUAGCUGGGCCGACACUGACGCUGAGGCGCGAAAGCCAGGGGAGCGAACGGGAUUAGAUACCCCUGUAGUCC
Molecule: ribosomal RNA, 809 nt
Filed under: uncultured Acidobacteriota bacterium
Lineage: Bacteria; Pseudomonadati; Acidobacteriota
Description: bacterial SSU rRNA
Rfam family: Bacterial small subunit ribosomal RNA
Source: RNAcentral